GAUGAACGCUGGCGGCGUGCCUAAUACAUGCAAGUAGAACGCUGAAGGAGGAGCUUGCUCUUCUGGAUGAGUUGCGAACGGGUGAGUAACGCGUAGGUAACCUGCCUGGUAGCGGGGGAUAACUAUUGGAAACGAUAGCUAAUACCGCAUGACAACAGUUAUUGCAUGAUAACUGUUUAAAAGGGGCAACUGCUCCACUACCAGAUGGACCUGCGUUGUAUUAGCUAGUUGGUGAGGUAACGGCUCACCAAGGCGACGAUACAUAGCCGACCUGAGAGGGUGAGCGGCCACACUGGGACUGAGACACGGCCCAGACUCCUACGGGAGGCAGCAGUAGGGAAUCUUCGGCAAUGGACGGAAGUCUGACCGAGCAACGCCGCGUGAGUGAAGAAGGUUUUCGGAUCGUAAAGCUCUGUUGUAAGAGAAGAACGAGUGUGAGAGUGGAAAGUUCACACUGUGACGGUAUCUUACCAGAAAGAGACGGCUAACUACGUG
Molecule: ribosomal RNA, 495 nt
Filed under: uncultured bacterium
Lineage: Bacteria
Description: partial 16S ribosomal RNA
Rfam family: Bacterial small subunit ribosomal RNA
Source: RNAcentral